AUUGAACGCUGGCGGCAGGCCUAACACAUGCAAGUCGAACGAGUGGCGGACGGGUGAGUAAUGUCUGGGAAACUGCCUGAUGGAGGGGGUUAAUUACUGGAACCGGUUGCUAUUACCGAAUACCUUAGGAUGUGCCCAGAUGGGAUUUGCUAGUUGGUGGGGUAAAGGCUCACCUAGGCGACGAGCCCUAGCUGGUCUGAGAGGAUGACCAGCCACACUGGAACUGAGACACGGUCCAGACUCCUACGGGAGGCAGCAGUGGGGAAUAUUGCACAAUGGGCGCAAGCCUGAUGCAGCCAUGCCGCGUGUAUGAAGAAGGCCUUCGGGUUGUAAAGUACUUUCAGCGGGGAGGCGUUACCCGCAGAAGAAGCACCGGCUAACUCCGUGCCAGCCGCCGCGGUAAUAC
RNAcentral lists this ribosomal RNA (406 nucleotides) under uncultured bacterium. RNAcentral's name for it is "partial 16S ribosomal RNA". It matches the Rfam family "Bacterial small subunit ribosomal RNA", at positions 30 to 526 of the family's 1533-position model. The record is from RNAcentral.